AACUAGUAAUAAGGGCGAAACGACCUGUUACCAUAUUAUUUUGUUAACUGCAAACUUAAACAUUUCAUCAAUGUGUUAUAUAACAAAAUAUCAGAGUGAAAGGAUUUAUUAGAAAUUACUCCUGUGAUGCAGAAGCCCUUGCCGAAGUGAUGAUAGCUGAGUACCUCGCCCCUGGUUUCAUUGAAAACUGGUCUGGUAGACGUGUUCAGAGUAACGCUUCCCGCCGAGGCCAAUUGUUCGAUUGGUAUCACGGUUCAUCGAAAAGGCACCGUGACACUAGCUGUACUUGAAAGACUUUUACCGAUAGCUGCUGGCUGAACACACAACAUGACAGGCUGGUGCCAGAGGGGACAGCUUUCGUGGUCAUGUGACAUGACCAUAAUGGAAAAGGGCCAAAGUUCCUUGUUCUUGGUGUGGAUCUCACACAAGGCAUUCCACUCUAGUCACCGAGCAAUCAACACCGAGUUACUCGAGCCAUCUUAAGGUUUGGACUCUGGUCGUGUGGGGUAAGUGAUACUGGCAUCAUUACAUAUUAGUUUGUUCAUUCAUAUUAUGCUUUUACAGAUAUGUAUAUUAUAAUUUUCAUAAUUUGUACUUAAAUGGUACAUAUGUGAUCAGUCAUUUUUAUAAACGAAUGUCCAAGUAGACAGUACAAAACCUGUAUUUAGUGGACACAUAUUUAGUAUGCUUUUAAAUAGAGGUGCCCUUUUUAGUAAAAGGCUCAUCUCUGUACUUAUUUGAAUAAUUAGUAUUAGAAUAUUGCAUACAUAUGUAUUCAUUAACGAGGUUAAUGGUUUGAUUAUUGUAAAUUUUUAUGCUGGGAUAAAAUAUAUUAAAGACAUUGUUAGUAUUGAAAGGAAAGAGCUGAGUUAGUGAGCAAAAUAUAUUUUAUCACCAAAUGAUCACACAUGUAAACGAUUACUGCAAGGGAACAGUUGGUAUUUAGCCUCUCUCUCUCUCAGUAGGGGAUUAUGGUGUGUGUCCUAAUUAGCACCAACAGCUCUAACUCUAAGAGAACAAAGCACUUGGAAUUUUGGGAAAUAGUCAGAAUGACCGGGGGGGGGGGGGGGGGG
Gigantopelta aegis is the source of this 1073-nucleotide long non-coding RNA. RefSeq lists it as uncharacterized. Lineage: Eukaryota; Metazoa; Mollusca; Gastropoda; Neomphalida; Peltospiridae. The transcript is spliced from 3 exons. The record is from RefSeq and is a predicted model, not a curated record.